This 265-nucleotide ribosomal RNA is filed under the name uncultured prokaryote. RNAcentral describes it as "partial 16S ribosomal RNA". It matches the Rfam family "Bacterial small subunit ribosomal RNA", at positions 524 to 788 of the family's 1533-position model. The record is from RNAcentral.
UACGUAGGGUCCGAGCGUUGUCCGGAAUUACUGGGCGUAAAGGGCUCGUAGGCGGUCUGUCGCGUCGGUAGUGAAAACUCAGGGCUCAACCCUGAGCGUGCUUUCGAUACGGGCAGACUAGAGGUAUGCAGGGGAGAAUGGAAUUCCUGGUGUAGCGGUGGAAUGCGCAGAUAUCAGGAGGAACACCGGUGGCGAAGGCGGUUCUCUGGGCAUUACCUGACGCUGAGGAGCGAAAGCAUGGGGAGCGAACAGGAUUAGAUACCCU